AGGAUUCCCCUAGUAACUGCGAGUGAAGAGGGAUGAGCUCAAAUUUAAAAUCUGGCGGUCCUUGAGGCCGUCCGAGUUGUAAUUUAGAGAAGCGUCACCCGCGUUGGACCGUGUACAAGUCUCCUCGAACGGAGCAUCAUAGAGGGUGAGAAUCCCGUAUAUGACACGGACUACCAGGGCUUUGUGGUGCACUCUCGACGAGUCGAGUUGUUUGGGAAUGCAGCUCAAAAUGGGUGGUAAAUUCCAUCUAAAGCUAAAUAUAGGCGAGAGACCGAUAGCGAACAAGUACCGUGAGGGAAAGAUGAAAAGAACUUUGGAAAGAGAGUUAAACAGUACGUGAAAUUGUUGAAAGGGAAACGCUUAAAGUCAGUCGCGUCUUUCAGAGAUCAACCUAGCCUUUUGGCUUGGUGCACUCUUUGGAGGACGGGUCAGCAUCAAUUUUGACCGGGGGAAAAAGUUGGUGGGAAUGUGGCACCUCCGGGUGUGUUAUAGCCCACUUGCAUAUACCUUGGUUGGGAUUGAGGAACUCAGCGCGCCGCAAGGCCGGACUUUUGUCACGUACGCGCUUAGGAUGCUGGCAUAAUGUCUUUAAUCGACCCGUCUUGAAACACGGACCAAGGAGUCUAACAUGCCCGCGAGUGUUUGGGUGUUAAAACCCGAGCGCGUAAUGAAAGUGAAAGUUGAGACCUCUGUCGUGGAGGGCAUCGACGCCCGGAUCAGAUCUUUUGGGACGAUUCCGAGGUAGAGCGUGCACGUUGGGACCCGAAAGAUGGUGAACUAUGCCUGAAUAGGGUGAAGCCAGAGGAAACUCUGGUGGAGGCUCGUAGCGAUUCUGACGUGCAAAUCGAUCGUCGAAUUUGGGUAUAGGGG
This 870-nucleotide ribosomal RNA is filed under the name Cristinia eichleri. RNAcentral describes it as "eukaryotic LSU rRNA". It matches the Rfam family "Eukaryotic large subunit ribosomal RNA", at positions 71 to 923 of the family's 3401-position model. The record is from RNAcentral. Lineage: Eukaryota; Fungi; Basidiomycota; Agaricomycetes; Agaricales; Stephanosporaceae.